This 497-nucleotide ribosomal RNA is filed under the name uncultured bacterium. Its description in RNAcentral is "partial 16S ribosomal RNA". It matches the Rfam family "Bacterial small subunit ribosomal RNA", at positions 28 to 507 of the family's 1533-position model. The record is from RNAcentral.
GAUGAACGCUGGCGGCGUGCCUAAUACAUGCAAGUCGAGCGAACAGACGAGGAGCUUGCUCCUCUGACGUUAGCGGCGGACGGGUGAGUAACACGUGGAUAACCUACCUAUAAGACUGGGAUAACUUCGGGAAACCGGAGCUAAUACCUGAUAAUAUAUUUAACCGCAUGGUUCAAUAGUGAAAGACGGUUUUGCUGUCACUUAUAGAUGGAUCCGCGCCGCAUUAGCUAGUUGGUAAGGUAACGGCUUACCAAGGCAACGAUGCGUAGCCGACCUGAGAGGGUGAUCGGCCACACUGGAACUGAGACACGGUCCAGACUCCUACGGGAGGCAGCAGUAGGGAAUCUUCCGCAAUGGGCGAAAGCCUGACGGAGCAACGCCGCGUGAGUGAUGAAGGUAUUCGGAUCGUAAAACUCUGUUAUUAGGGAAGAACAAAUGUGUAAGUAACUAUGCACGUCUUGACGGUACCUAAUCAGAAAGCCACGGCUAACUACGUG